RNAcentral lists this ribosomal RNA (420 nucleotides) under uncultured bacterium. Its description in RNAcentral is "bacterial SSU rRNA". It matches the Rfam family "Bacterial small subunit ribosomal RNA", at positions 8 to 429 of the family's 1533-position model. The record is from RNAcentral.
AGAGUUUGAUCCUGGCUCAGGACGAACGCUGGCGGCGUGCUUAACACAUGCAAGUCGAACGGAAAGGUCUCUUCGGAGAUACUCGAGUGGCGAACGGGUGAGUAACACGUGGGUGAUCUGCCCUGCACUUUGGGAUAAGCCUGGGAAACUGGGUCUAAUACCGGAUAGGACCGCGCCAUGCAUGUGGUGUGGUGGAAAGCUAUUUGCGGUGUGGGAUGGGCCCGCGGCCUAUCAGCUUGUUGGUGGGGUGAUGGCCUACCAAGGCGACGACGGGUAGCCGGCCUGAGAGGGUGUCCGGCCACACUGGGACUGAGAUACGGCCCAGACUCCUACGGGAGGCAGCAGUGGGGAAUAUUGCACAAUGGGCGCAAGCCUGAUGCAGCGACGCCGCGUGGGGGAUGACGGCCUUCGGGUUGUAAA